Long non-coding RNA from Pteropus alecto (black flying fox), 5155 nucleotides. RefSeq lists it as uncharacterized. The transcript is spliced from 3 exons. The record is from RefSeq and is a predicted model, not a curated record. Lineage: Eukaryota; Metazoa; Chordata; Mammalia; Chiroptera; Pteropodidae.
UUUUUUUUUUUUGGUAGAAAUCCUUAUCUCAAGAUCAUUAGGAUAUUUUCUUAUAUUAUCUUCCAGAAGGUUGUUUUGCCUUCCACAUUUAGAUCUGCAAUUAGAGUGGACAUAAGUCCAGGUUUAUGCCUCUUGUCCCAGCAUCUCUUCCAGUUAGCGUCUCCUUUUACUCUCAGAAGUGUUUACAAAAUUUCCCUGAGCUUUCUUCUUGGAAAACAGCAGCGCUUCUUUGCUAAUUCUAAUUCCGGCCAUUGUAGAUGACUGGCUUUUGGAGUGGUGUGGAGAAGUAUAAGAGCAUGUCCUCAGAGAGCUGGACGUGGGCCCAGCUUUCCCACCCGCGGACUGGGCGGCAUCCAUGCUCGGUGCCUCGUCCGCGUGGGGGCCCUGGGACCAGCGGAGCGGAGCGGAGCCGAGGCCAGGAACUGCUUCAUCGGUUCCUCCCCAGGGCAGAUCCUGCUCUGGCAGUCUCUAGCCGGGCUCUGUGCUGGACAGAGAGCCGAUGGAAUCUGUAGGAGGUUAUAAUAAACCUCAUGUGUGUAAAUGGUUGUGAACACAAUGAAAGACAUUUUGGGUCCAGUUGGUUUGUUCGACAAAUAAUGUUUCUGGAGUCAAAAUAUAUAGCAUGUUCCUUUUACAUAUAACACAGGUUAUGGUUUGGUUUUGAACAUACUGUUUGAGUUUACUGCCAGUAAAAGCUCUUCCAGCUCCUGAAGCCGUCACGUGGUGCAGAGUAAUGCACAAAGCAAAUGGAAGGUGGGUCCGAUGAGAAGCGUCUGGCCCACUAGAUAAAUACAGAGACCCACAUUCCUGGUGAGAAGCGUCUGGCCCACUAGAUAAAUAGAGACCCACAUGCCUGCUGGUGUAUGAAUAUUAGGUAUGGGUGCAAGUUUCAUUUUACUUCCGGGAGCAUAGUUUACGUUCAGCAAAUUAACCUGGGCUUUCUUUUAUCUCCUUCUUACCUGUCUGUAUACUUUGCCAUUGACCUGACUAGUUUAUCUUCGUUGGCCCCUAAUAACCAUCUUUACACGCACAACUCAAAUGAACCCCGAUGGUGUACAGUCUUUCCUGCUUUCUCACGUCUCUCUCUCCCCCACUGAAUGAACCUUUUCAGCUCCAGGCAAAAAGGCCUCUUGGCCAGUUUGAAUCCUUAACAGUGCUCAUGUAGAACCGAACACAUAGCAAGCGCUCCAUGAAUGUUUGUCGCAUAAACGCUUGCCUCGGCGUUUGUCACAUAAACGUUUGCAGGACUUUGCGUAACCAGGCGGAGGUCACAUAGCUGAGUUUCUCAGGCAUAACCGACUCUCACUGACUUGCAGGUUUAGCCCAUUGUUUGCGUUUUAGGUUUUAGAGAUUUAUAUAGUUUUGGUCUUAGAACAAAAGCAUCGCUUCUUCACUUGAAGGCAUCGUUGCCUGUAUUUAGAUUUGCUAAUCUGAACGUGCACAUGAAUGUCGAGUUGCACUUUUCUACAGACAGUUUCCGCAAGUUUUCCUCUGACAAAGAUGGAGGGAAGGGAGACAAACACCUCAUUUCUGGCUGCUUCAUCGCCCAGCUUAAGUAUUACAAGGGGAAACAGAAGUGUUGAAAUUAAUUACUUAGCAGAGUGUGAGGAAGGAGCUCCGAACAGUGUGGGCCACCCCGGGAGCGGGCACUACUGGCCGAGGGGCGAGGGGGGUGGCUGCAGCUGAGGAGCAAGGAGCACCAGGCUCACCACUGGACGUUGCCUCACUGGCUUUACGAAGCGCGGGAUGAUGGUAAGAAUUAAAGUAAAAAAUACCAUGAACCACCUGUGAUUGAGUUUACUGCCAGCGAGUGGUAGUUUCCACAGACAAAGGCAAAAAUGAACAGUGGUGAGCAAAGGUAAACCCCAUCAGAAAGAGGCCAGGAGCGACCUAACCACCUCGUUAAACACACGGAGGGCCUGCUGGAGGCGGCGUUAGGAGAGGCCAGGGCAGCCGUACACAUUGCCGGUUCUGCCAACCUCCGCCCUUUGGCUCAAGCCCUUCUGAUGUUUUCCAGUGCGGGAUGUUAUUUGGGGAUCGAGGGAAGCAUCUUUGUUCCUUUAAUGAGGAUCGAGUACCUAUUAUGUGUUAGGCAGGCAUAAAGCCCCGGGAAGCCCCAUAUGAGUAAGAAAGUCAUUCCCUCAAAGAUCUUACAGGGCGGUCAGGGGGACAGAGGGGAAGAUGACUACAGUACAGCAUGCGAGGGGUUGGGGUGGAGCACCUACAAAAUACACGGGCACAGAGACCCAGCGCUCAGGAGGUUCCCUGUGAUCUAAGGCUGAGUGAGGGUGGCAGUGGAGGAAGGAAGGUGGGACGGACACACAGGACAGUGACGGCUGUGCAGGGGAAGCCUAGGGGUCUGCCGGAGUGGGGGAGGGCGCACAGCAGUGAGUUCUGCUGAGCUGGAGCUUAAACGUUCACGGGUGCUGCACAGAACUGAGACUACCAAGGGAGGCAGAGCCAGUGGCAGAAAAGCCAGCGUUCUCUCUUGUGGCCGGCGGGCGACAGGCAACUGUGGAGGUCCAGCCAGCCCAGCCUGGCCAGCUCAGCCACCCCUUUAUCCCGAACACCAGAGAUAUGUACAGUAAUGUCUGUCACUCCGAAAGCAGCCCUCUCUCCAUCAUUUGGAAAGGUGCUGGAUCCAGUGUUGUUUCUGAAGUGUUCCUGGAACUCUCACUGAGCAGUGAUGUAGGUGGCCAAGUGCCCAGACCCAGAUAAGCAGAGAUCAUAACCACGCCGUUGUAGCGUGCGCGUGCUCGGUGGGAGCCCGUGCCACCGUGAGUGCCAGGUGCGUACCUGGCCUUCGACCCACAGAGGCACGUGGUGGUGGCAGCGUUCCCGUUUUACAGACGAGAGCACGGGCUAGAGGUCGAGCGACUCACGUAGUAAGUGAUGGAGCUGGGGGUUGAACCCCCCGGGCCGGGCCUGGGAGAGAAGCGGCAAGGCUAGAACGGCAGAGAAACGAGACGUGAAGUUUAAAAUAAACAAGAAUGGGAACGAGGAUUGUCAGUUGUGGUGAGGGCGGAAAAGCACAGACCUCCUGACAGUGGCUGAAGAGUCAGCUCUGCAAGGGCUCAGAAAGGGGCCUGGCAGGGAGAGGAACAGGGACCCUCGGAAUGAAUUCAGGAAAACCGGCGUUGACCUCGGUGACAGCCCAUCAGCUCUGUAAGGACCAUGGAGAGCUCCUAGCUCAGUGCCUCUCUGCAUGUGGAAACUGAGGCCAGAGGGGGAGGUCCAAUGGCUCCGUAGUGCCACAGACAGCGGAAUCCAGGCCUCCCUACUUCCAGGCUAAUGUUUCUGCAGUCCAGCAGCCACUCGUCCUGCUUGCAGCACCCUCAUUUUCCUCCGAGGAGCCACCUCCUUUGCCUCACUGACCCCCCGUGGGUCUUGGUCAGCUCUGGCAGCUGUAAGAAAAAUACCACAGACUGGAUGACGUAAAAAAACAUUUCUCACGGUCCUGGAAGCCGGGAAGCCCAAGAUCAAGGUGCUGGCAGAUCUGAUGUCUGGCGACAGCCCACUUCCUAGCUUGUAGACAGCCACUCUCUUGCUGUACCCUCACAGGACAGGGGCUCCGGCGCGCUCAUACCUCUUGUAAUGGCAUUACUCUCAUCACGAGGGCUCCACCCUCACGACCUAAUUACCCCCCAAAUGCCCCAACUCCAGGUAGCAUCCCUCUGGGGAUUAGGGUUUCAACUAAAUGUGGGGAUUAGGGUUUCAACUAAACAUAGUCCAUAACAGCCACAUCUCCAGCCUCAGCCAGUCCACUAAUGCCGUUCCCCCCCCAGACAGGCUAGGGUCAGGGUUAGACAGGGGACUCCACAAAGCCAUCAGGGUGAAUUAGAGGCUUCUGCCUUUUCUCCAACUGGAGUUGGCCCACAGGGGUCUUCCUCAGUCAUCACCGUCAGGCAAGAAGCUGACCCGGGUCCUCGGGAGGGAGGGAACCUAGCCCAAGUGACACCGUUUCAGACUCUGUGACCACUGUGCCUGGCCUUUCAUCAGUCACGUCUUUUUUUUUUUUCUUUCUCCAUCCUGACUUUGGGAAUAACAACACCUGCCCUCUGGGUUGUUAGGGGGAUGAAGUGAGAAGGUGCGUGCACAGCCCUUACAUCAGUGCCUGGCACCCUGCGAGCACUCACAUAUUACGGGUGAGAAUGCAGGCUGGCCGACACCUGGAAUGCAGCCUUGUGAGACCCUGAGCAGAAGACCAGCUAAGCCACGCUGACUCCUCAACUACGGAAACUACAUGAGCUCAAACUGAGCGUUAAACAGAGCACCGGGAGCGCAGAUGUCCAGUUCGUGCCGGGUGCUCCUGGGACAGUUAGGGACCUCGGCACCAAGGAAAAGAGGACCUGCGUUGUGGCGUCGGAGCGGAGGACCUGGUUUUCCAGCACACAACCUCUGCUAUAAGACAGAGGACAGAGAUCAUGGGCAUCUCGAUGGAUUUCCAAGGAUCUCCGAGCAAAAAAAGCAAUUCGCACACAAAACAGAGUGCAAUUUCACAUGGGGACAAAGCCAACCCUAGUAGAUUAUAUGUAUACACGUGACCAGUGGGAAAAGAUGACAGGGCCCACUCUAAGCCCUUCACUGUGACACCUGUCGGGGGCAGGGGGACUGGCAUGUUUUACCUAGCGUAGAUGUCCAAUGUGCAGGGUGCCCAGCAGCACCCAGUGCUCAGAGGCAGCCGCCACAUACCACCCACGGGUGCUUACUCGGUGCCACCCACUGCCUCGUUUGCCUCCCACAAAUUCAGUGAAGUGGGUGCAACUAUCACCUCAUUUUAUGGAUGAGAAAACUGAGUCUCCAGUGGGCUCCUAGUGAGUAGUUCACGGAAAUGGAAGACUGACAGCCAGACGGCCUGGCCUCCUGGAGCCUGUGCGCCUGUGCGGGAAGACGUCGGGGAGCCCUCCCUACCCCGCCGACUCAAUAGCAGCCAGCUAAGGGUCCCAUGGGAACGUGCCAAGUGAGCGAUGUGGGGAAUGAGAGGAAAGAAAGACCGGCCCGUGUGAGGGGUGCUCCUCGCAGGGGUGCGACGCCUCAGAUGCUGCUCGGAAGGGCUUGGGUUUUAUAACGCGGGCCGUGGGGAGCCGCUGGAGGUUUGAAGCAGGCAGUGGAGUGGGGUGCUGGUGAGCAUGGCAGAGCACUGGCCCUUGAGGAU